AGGGCUGUAGCUUAGUGGUAGAGCAUCUGCUCUCCAUGCAGAAAGUCCCAAGUUCAAUCCCAGUCAGCUUCA
Molecule: non-coding RNA, 72 nt
Organism: Podarcis lilfordi (Lilford's wall lizard)
Lineage: Eukaryota; Metazoa; Chordata; Lepidosauria; Squamata; Lacertidae
Source: the annotation of a GenBank genome assembly